UUAUUCCUACGGGGGGCAGCAGUGGGGAAUAUUGCACAAUGGGGGGAACCCUGAUGCAGCAAUGCCGCGUGAAGGAUGAAGGUUUUCGGAUUGUAAACUUCUUUUGUACGGGACGAAGAAAGUGACGGUACCGUAAGAAUAAGCCACGGCUAACUACGUGCCAGCAGCCGCGGUAAUACGUAGGUGGCAAGCGUUAUCCGGAUUUACUGGGUGUAAAGGGCGAGGAGGCGGGAUUGCAAGUCAGAUGUGAAAACUAUGGGCUGAACCGAUGGGGAGCAUUUGAAACUGCA
Molecule: ribosomal RNA, 290 nt
Filed under: uncultured bacterium
Lineage: Bacteria
Description: partial 16S ribosomal RNA
Rfam family: Bacterial small subunit ribosomal RNA
Source: RNAcentral